GUGAGGAAUAUUGGACAAUGGGCGCAAGCCUGAUCCAGCCAUGCCGCGUGCAGGAAGACGCAUCUAUGGUGUGUAAACUGCUUUUGUACGUGAAGAAACACUCCCUCGUGAGGGAGCUUGACGGUACCGUAAGAAUAAGGAUCGGCUAACUCCGUGCCAGCAGCCGCGGUAAUACGGAGGAUCCAAGCGUUAUCCGGAAUCAUUGGGUUUAAAGGGUCCGUAGGCGGUUUAAUAAGUCAGUGGUGAAAGCCCAUCGCUCAACGAUGGAACGGCCAUUGAUACUGUUAGACUUGAAUUACAAGGAAGUAACUAGAAUAUGUAGUGUAGCGGUGAAAUGCUUAGAUAUUAGGAGGAACACCAGUGGCGAAGGCGACUUACUGGACUGUAACUGACGCUGAAGCACGAAAGCGUGGGGAGCGAACAGGAUUAGAAACCCGUGUAGUCC
Molecule: ribosomal RNA, 445 nt
Filed under: uncultured bacterium
Lineage: Bacteria
Description: partial 16S ribosomal RNA
Rfam family: Bacterial small subunit ribosomal RNA
Source: RNAcentral